This 777-nucleotide ribosomal RNA is filed under the name uncultured Neocallimastigales. RNAcentral describes it as "partial large subunit ribosomal RNA". It matches the Rfam family "Eukaryotic large subunit ribosomal RNA", at positions 23 to 638 of the family's 3401-position model. The record is from RNAcentral. Lineage: Eukaryota; Fungi; Neocallimastigomycota; Neocallimastigomycetes; Neocallimastigales.
GAGACUCUGUGCGCGUGCAUAUCAAUAAGCGGAGGAAAAGAAACUAACAAGGAUUCCCCUAGUAACGGCGAGUGAAGCGGGAAGAGCUCAAAUUUGAAAUCUUAAAGGGUUUCCCUUUACGAAUUGUAGUUUAAAGAAGUGUUUUCUGUUGGAGUUUCGGUAAAAGUUCUUUGGAAUAGGACAUCAUAGAGGGUGAGAAUCCCGUAUUUGACCGUUACUUUCCAGCUGUGUGAUACACUUUCAAAGAGUCGGAUUGUUUGGGAAUGCAGUCCAAAAUGGGUGGUAAAUUUCAUCUAAAGCUAAAUAUUGGCGAGAGACCGAUAGCGAACAAGUACCGUGAGGGAAAGAUGAAAAGAACUUUGAAAAGAGAGUUAAACAGUACGUGAAAUUGUCAAAAGGGAAGCGUUUGACACCAGUGUUGUUUAGUUGAAAAUCAAUUCAAUAGUUUUUGAUUCUAAGUAGUAUUGACUUCAUCAGCUUGCUGCUUUCUUCUCAGAAAUUAUUGAAUGCACUUUUCAGUUAACAAGUCAACAUCAAUUUCUUUUGUUGUAAAAGGGUAAGAGGAUAGGUGGCUUGCGCUUCGGCUCAAGUGUUUAUAGCCUUUUAUCUCUGCAAUCGGAGAGAUUGAGGUCUGCAGCGUAGAUCCUUCGGGGUUAGAUACAUUUGGUGCUAAGUUAUAGCUUUUCAUAGACAACUUGUUGACUAUGUUUAGUCUUGUAGCUUACUCGCUUAUGCUAUUUUACCUACGCUUAGGAUGUUGACAGCAGUAUAGACUGU